UGCAAUUGAUGAAAUAUUUGCUUAUGAUCAAUAAAUGAUUCUUUUAU
This 47-nucleotide small nucleolar RNA is filed under the name Schizosaccharomyces pombe (fission yeast). RNAcentral describes it as "small nucleolar RNA U24 (snoU24)". The record is from RNAcentral. Lineage: Eukaryota; Fungi; Ascomycota; Schizosaccharomycetes; Schizosaccharomycetales; Schizosaccharomycetaceae.